This 1067-nucleotide long non-coding RNA is filed under the name Monodelphis domestica (gray short-tailed opossum). Its description in RNAcentral is "lncRNA (ENSMODG00000050221.1)". The record is from RNAcentral. Lineage: Eukaryota; Metazoa; Chordata; Mammalia; Didelphimorphia; Didelphidae.
UCUGACAAAGCUCCAAGAGGGGAGACUGACAGCUCCAAAACCAAAACAAAAUGAGAGGAGCAAGAGCACAGCCAAAUACGGGGAGCAAAGAAGGGGUAAACUCGAGCAAACAACAGAAAAAGAAGAAAGAAAUUACAAUAGACAGCUUCUGCACAGGUAAUGAGCAAAGAGCGAAUGAAACAGAGGGGGAGGACCCAGCAAAGAAAAAAUCAGAAAUCCCAGCGAAUUGGAUACAGGCUUUGGAAGAACUCAAAAUGCAAUUCAAAACACAAUUAAGAGAGGCUGAAGACAAUUGGGAAAAGAACUUAAAAACUAAGAUAAGUCAUCUGGAAACAGAAAAUAGUAUCUUGAAAGCCAAAAUCAACCAGCUGGAAAAUGAGGCAAAGGAGAUGAAAGAUGAGGCAAAGCAGAUGAAAGAUGAGGUGAAGAAGAUGAAAGAUGACCUCCAAAGAAAAUCCGACCAAGAGGAAAAGGACGACCAAAAAACUAAGGAUGAAAUCCAGUCUUUAAGAACCAGAAUACAACAACUUGAAUCGAGCGACCUCACAAGGCAGCAAGACACUAUAAAACAAAACCAAAAGAAUGAAAAAAUUGAGGAAAAUAUGAAGCAUCUAAUUCACAAAACAGAGGAUUUAGAAAAUCGUUCAAGGAGAGACAAUUUAAGAAUUAUUGGCCUACCAGAAGACCAUGACAAAAGAAAAAGCCUGGACAUUAUAUUACAAGAAAUUAUUAAAGAAAACUGCCCCAAAAUCCUUGAAUAAGAGGGAAAAGUGGAGAUUAAUAGAAUCCAGAGAUCACCUCCUGUUUAAUCCCCAACUGACAACACCCAGGAAUGUUAUAGCCAAAUUCAAGAACUAUAAGACCAAAGAAAAGAUAUUACAAGCUGCCAAGAAGUCAUUCAGAUACCAAGGAACCACAGUGAGGAUAACUCAGGAUCUGGCUGCAUCCACACUGAAAAAAAGAAAGGAAUGGAAUACGAUAUUCCGGAAAGCAAGGGAACUAGGUCUACAACCAAGAAUCCACUACCCAGCAAAACUGACUAUAUUCUUACAGGGAAAAAGUAUGGU